RNAcentral lists this small RNA (129 nucleotides) under human gut metagenome. Its description in RNAcentral is "Ribosomal protein L10 leader". It matches the Rfam family "Ribosomal protein L10 leader". From Rfam's summary of the family: This family is a putative r-protein leader autoregulatory structure found in B. subtilis and other low-GC Gram-positive bacteria. The record is from RNAcentral.
UUAAAUAAUUUUAAGUCCGAAGACAGCAAGUGGCUUAAGCCGUAAACAUUUUGUGCUUGCCGAGGUGAAAGUUUUGAUAGAUUUUUUCUCUCAAAGUCUUGUUUCGGGCUUUGGGAGUUAUUUUUUUGU